UUUUGCCUACGGGAGGCAGCAGUGGGGAAUAUUGCACAAUGGGGGGAACCCUGAUGCAGCAAUGCCGCGUGAAGGAUGAAGGUUUUCGGAUUGUAAACUUCUUUUGUACGGGACGAAGAAAGUGACGGUACCGUAAGAAUAAGCCACGGCUAACUACGUGCCAGCAGCCGCGGUAAUACGUAGGUGGCAAGCGUUAUCCGGAUUUACUGGGUGUAAAGGGCGUGUAGGCGGGAGAGCAAGUCAGACGUGAAAUUCCAGGGCUCAACCCUGGAACUGCGUUUGAAACUGUUCUUCUUGAGUGAUGG
RNAcentral lists this ribosomal RNA (305 nucleotides) under uncultured bacterium. RNAcentral's name for it is "bacterial SSU rRNA". It matches the Rfam family "Bacterial small subunit ribosomal RNA", at positions 333 to 652 of the family's 1533-position model. The record is from RNAcentral.